Molecule: ribosomal RNA, 253 nt
Filed under: uncultured bacterium
Lineage: Bacteria
Description: partial 16S ribosomal RNA
Rfam family: Bacterial small subunit ribosomal RNA
Source: RNAcentral
UACGUAGGGGGCAAGCGUUGUCCGGAUUCAUUGGGCGUAAAGAGCGUGUAGGCGGCCAGGUAGGUCGGUUGUGAAAACUGGAGGCUCAACCUUCAGACGUCGACCGAAACCAUCUGGCUAGAGUCCGGGAGAGGAGAGUGGAAUUCCUGGUGUAGCGGUGAAAUGCGCAGAUAUCAGGAAGAACACCCGUGGCGAAAGCGGCUCACUGGCCCGAUACUGACGCUGAGGUGCGAAAGCGUGGGGAGCAAACAGG